UGAGAAACUGAUAAUCUAGAGUGCGGGAGAGGCAGAUGGAAUUGGUGGUGUAGGGGUAAAAUCCGUAGAGAUCACCAGGAAUACCCAUUGCGAAGGCGAUCUGCUGGAACUCAACUGACGCUAAUGCGUGAAAGCGUGGGGAGCAAACAGGAUUAGAUACCCUGGUAGUCCACGCCCUAAACGAUGUAUACUAGUUGUUGCUGUGCUAGUCACGGCAGUAAUGCACCUAACGGAUUAAGUAUACCGCCUGGGGAGUACGGUCGCAAGAUUAAAACUCAAAGGAAUAGACGGGGACCCGCACAAGCGGUGGAGCAGUGGUUUA
RNAcentral lists this ribosomal RNA (322 nucleotides) under Campylobacter fetus subsp. testudinum. RNAcentral's name for it is "bacterial SSU rRNA". It matches the Rfam family "Bacterial small subunit ribosomal RNA", at positions 626 to 948 of the family's 1533-position model. Lineage: Bacteria; Pseudomonadati; Campylobacterota; Epsilonproteobacteria; Campylobacterales; Campylobacteraceae. The record is from RNAcentral.